Molecule: ribosomal RNA, 447 nt
Filed under: uncultured bacterium
Lineage: Bacteria
Description: bacterial SSU rRNA
Rfam family: Bacterial small subunit ribosomal RNA
Source: RNAcentral
CCCAGACUCCUACGGGAGGCAGCAGUGGGGAAUAUUGCACAAUGGGGGAAACCCUGAUGCAGCGACGCCGCGUGAGUGAAGAAGUAUUUCGGUAUGUAAAGCUCUAUCAGCAGGGAAGAAAAUGACGGUACCUGACUAAGAAGCCCCGGCUAACUACGUGCCAGCAGCCGCGGUAAUACGUAGGGGGCAAGCGUUAUCCGGAUUUACUGGGUGUAAAGGGAGCGUAGACGGCAUGGCAAGUCAGAUGUGAAAGCCCGGGGCUCAACCCCGGGACUGCAUUUGAAACUGUCAGGCUGGAGUGCAGGAGAGGUAAGUGGAAUUCCUAGUGUAGCGGUGAAAUGCGUAGAUAUACGGAGGAACACCAGUGGCGAAGGCGGAUUGCUGGACAGUAACUGACGCUGAGGCGCGAAAGCGUGGGGAGCAAACAGGAUUAGAUACCCGCGUACA